GCAGUGGUGGUUCAGUGGUAGAAUAUCUGCCUUCCAUGUGGGAGGCUCGGGUUCAAUUUCCAGCCAAUGCC
RNAcentral lists this transfer RNA (71 nucleotides) under Loxodonta africana (African savanna elephant). It matches the Rfam family "tRNA". Rfam says of the family: Transfer RNA (tRNA) molecules are approximately 80 nucleotides in length. The record is from Rfam by way of RNAcentral. Lineage: Eukaryota; Metazoa; Chordata; Mammalia; Proboscidea; Elephantidae.